GAAGGUUGGGUAACACCAUAGGGAGGUCAGGGAAGAGGAGGGCAGAAGAGUGACCACAGCGUUUAUUGACAUUGUGAUCUUGGCAGGAACAGGCUCAGGGCAGUGUCAAGGGCCAACCCUAAAUGGCAGGGGAUUAAGAGACCCAGAGGAAAGCACUGGGAGGAAUGAGAAAGUAGCGACUAGACAAAAAUGAAAACUCUUUAAGAAGCAUUGCUGAAGUUACAGGGGAAAAAGAUUAAGACAACUGAGGUUAAGGGCCUGACUCCAGAUCACACAGCAAGGGAGAUGGCAAAAUCAAGAUUUCAACCCAGGAAACCUGCCUCCCAUGCCUAUGUUAAUCACUACACCCUUCCCACAAUAAAUAAUCAAAUAAGCUAUUA
Molecule: long non-coding RNA, 380 nt
Filed under: Homo sapiens (human)
Lineage: Eukaryota; Metazoa; Chordata; Mammalia; Primates; Hominidae
Description: HSALNT0070304
Source: RNAcentral